Molecule: long non-coding RNA, 329 nt
Filed under: Mytilus galloprovincialis (Mediterranean mussel)
Lineage: Eukaryota; Metazoa; Mollusca; Bivalvia; Mytilida; Mytilidae
Source: RNAcentral
CUGCAUGACAUAUUUUGAAAAUUUUUUAAGAAUGUACACCUUCGAGGAGCCAAAAUUUUAUAGAAUUAAAAUUGUUUUCUUCACUUUUUGAAACAAUAUUUGGCAAAGAAAUAUAUGGUGGGGCACAUCCUUUUCUUCUACGGCCUAAUUUUGAUAAUUUUCCCAUUUUAAAUCUUUAAAAAUUAUUUUGGUGGAUUGUUGAAAAAAUCACUGUUCCACAAUUAAACUUUUUUUCAUACUUUAAAUCAAGUGCAUUGACCAAUCUGAAUAAAUCUAACUUCCGAAAAAACUUUCGGUCAUCAAUUUUGUGAUUUUUCUACUUAAAGAAC